GGGGAUGUACUGGUUUCGACAUGUAUUCUUUGGCAUUGAUUGCAGUCGAGUUGUGACGUAAUCACAAACAAAAAUUAUCUGGCAACAGAAAUUUCAAUUACGCAUUUGCUGCUUAGUCAGUAACUCAUUAUCGAGUUAGCGUGGGGCCUAAUAAGUUUGCUCCUGGCUUAUUAACGCUUCUUAAUUUAGGGAGAUAAGUUUUGUCUAAUGAUUAUAAGGCAAGAACGAAAAAUUAUAAUCUAGUGGUGUAAAGUUCGUUGAGAUUGAUAAGCCAUGAAAUUUAAAACCUCAACUAAACUGUAGUGGUCUUUGUAGGGGGAUAUGUGGACCGGAGUUCGACUCUCCGCAUCUCCACCA
RNAcentral lists this transfer-messenger RNA (357 nucleotides) under human gut metagenome. It matches the Rfam family "transfer-messenger RNA". From Rfam's summary of the family: Bacterial tmRNA, also known as 10Sa RNA or SsrA, is named for its dual tRNA and mRNA-like properties. Its role is to liberate the mRNA from a stalled ribosome. To accomplish this part of the tmRNA is used as a reading frame that ends in a translation stop signal. The record is from RNAcentral.